UGCAAGUCGAGCGGACAGAUGGGAGCUUGCUCCCUGAUGUUAGCGGCGGACGGGUGAGUAACACGUGGGUAACCUGCCUGUAAGACUGGGAUAACUCCGGGAAACCGGGGCUAAUACCGGAUGGUUGUUUGAACCGCAUGGUUCAAACAUAAAAGGUGGCUUCGGCUACCACUUGCAGAUGGACCCGCGGCGCAUUAGCUAGUUGGUGAGGUAAUGGCUCACCAAGGCAACGAUGCGUAGCCGACCUGAGAGGGUGAUCGGCCACACUGGGACUGAGACACGGCCCAGACUCCUACGGGAGGCAGCAGUAGGGAAUCUUCCGCAAUGGACGAAAGUCUGACGGAGCAACGCCGCGUGAGUGAUGAAGGUUUUCGGAUCGUAAAGCUCUGUUGUUAGGGAAGAACAAGUGCCGUUCGAAUAGGGCGGUACCUUGACGGUACCUAACCAGAAAGCCACGGCUAACUACGUGCCAGCAGCCGCGGUAAUACGUAGGUGGCAAGCGUUGUCCGGAAUUAUUGGGCGUAAAGGGCUCGCAGGCGGUUUCUUAAGUCUGAUGUGAAAGCCCCCGGCUCAACCGGGGAGGGUCAUUGGAAACUGGGGAACUUGAGUGCAGAAGAGGAGAGUGGAAUUCCACGUGUAGCGGUGAAAUGCGUAGAGAUGUGGAGGAACACCAGUGGCGAAGGCGACUCUCUGGUCUGUAACUGACGCUGAGGAGCGAAAGCGUGGGGAGCGAACAGGAUUAGA
RNAcentral lists this ribosomal RNA (744 nucleotides) under Bacillus spizizenii ATCC 6633 = JCM 2499. Its description in RNAcentral is "bacterial SSU rRNA". It matches the Rfam family "Bacterial small subunit ribosomal RNA", at positions 56 to 782 of the family's 1533-position model. Lineage: Bacteria; Bacillati; Bacillota; Bacilli; Caryophanales; Bacillaceae. The record is from RNAcentral.